RNAcentral lists this ribosomal RNA (253 nucleotides) under uncultured bacterium. Its description in RNAcentral is "partial 16S ribosomal RNA". It matches the Rfam family "Bacterial small subunit ribosomal RNA", at positions 524 to 776 of the family's 1533-position model. The record is from RNAcentral.
UACAGAGGUGGCAAGCGUUGUUCGGAAUUACUGGGCGUAAAGGGCGCGUAGGCGGCCUACUAAGUCAGGCGUGAAAUCCCCCGGCUUAACCUGGGAACUGCGUCUGAUACUGGAAGGCUUGAGGAUGGGAGAGGGAUGUAGAAUUCCAGGUGUAGCGGUGAAAUGCGUAGAUAUCUGGAGGAAUACCGGUGGCGAAGGCGGCAUCCUGGACCAUUACUGACGCUGAGGCGCGAAAGCUAGGGGAGCAAACGGG